RNAcentral lists this ribosomal RNA (498 nucleotides) under uncultured bacterium. RNAcentral describes it as "partial 16S ribosomal RNA". It matches the Rfam family "Bacterial small subunit ribosomal RNA", at positions 28 to 523 of the family's 1533-position model. The record is from RNAcentral.
GAUGAACGCUGGCGGCGUGCCUAACACAUGCAGGUCGAGCGUGAUUGUGUGGAUUGAAGCUUCGGCAGAGAGAAACACAUGAAAGCGGCGGACGGGUGAGUAACGCGUGGGCAACCUGCCCCAUACAGCGGAAUAGCCACUGGAAACGGUGAUUAAUGCCGCAUAAGACCACAGUAUCGCAUGGUACGGGGGUCAAAGAUUUAUCGGUAUGGGGAUGGGCCCGCGUCAGAUUAGCUAGUUGGUGAGGUAACGGCUCACCAAGGCGACGAUCAGUAGCCGACCUGAGAGGGCGGGCGGCCACACUGGAACUGAGACACGGUCCAGACUCCUACGGGAGGCAGCAGUGGGGAAUAUUGCACAAUGGGCGCAAGCCUGAUGCAGCAACGCCGCGUGAGUGAAGAAGGCCUUCGGGUCGUAAAGCUCUGUCCUGUGGGAAGAAAAAAAUGACGGUACCACAGGAGGAAGCCCCGGCUAACUACGUGCCAGCCGCCGCAGUAA